RNAcentral lists this ribosomal RNA (119 nucleotides) under Salmonella enterica subsp. enterica. Lineage: Bacteria; Pseudomonadati; Pseudomonadota; Gammaproteobacteria; Enterobacterales; Enterobacteriaceae. The record is from RNAcentral.
ACUGGCGGCACUAGCGCGGUGGUCCCACCUGACCCCAUGCCGAACUCAGGGUGAAACGCCACCGUAGCGCCGAUGGUAGUGUGGGGUCUCCCCAUGCGAGAGGUAGGGAACUGCCGGGC